This 447-nucleotide ribosomal RNA is filed under the name uncultured Nocardioidaceae bacterium. Its description in RNAcentral is "bacterial SSU rRNA". It matches the Rfam family "Bacterial small subunit ribosomal RNA", at positions 338 to 796 of the family's 1533-position model. Lineage: Bacteria; Bacillati; Actinomycetota; Actinomycetes; Propionibacteriales; Nocardioidaceae. The record is from RNAcentral.
CCUACGGGAGGCAGCAGUGGGGAAUAUUGGACAAUGGGCGAAAGCCUGAUCCAGCAACGCCGCGUGAGGGAUGACGGCCUUCGGGUUGUAAACCUCUUUCAGCAGGGACGAAGCGAAAGUGACGGUACCUGCAGAAGAAGCACCGGCCAACUACGUGCCAGCAGCCGCGGUAAUACGUAGGGUGCGAGCGUUGUCCGGAAUUAUUGGGCGUAAAGGGCUCGUAGGCGGUCCAUCGCGUCGGGAGUGAAAAGCUGGGGCUUAACCCCAGUCCUGCUUCCGAUACGGGUGGACUAGAGGUAGGCAGGGGAGAAUGGAAUUCCUGGUGUAGCGGUGAAAUGCGCAGAUAUCAGGAGGAACACCGGUGGCGAAGGCGGUUCUCUGGGCCUUACCUGACGCUGAGGAGCGAAAGCAUGGGGAGCAAACAGGAUUAGAUACCCCGGUAGUCAC